RNAcentral lists this long non-coding RNA (73 nucleotides) under Crocodylus porosus (Australian saltwater crocodile). Its description in RNAcentral is "Mammalian CPEB3 ribozyme (ENSCPRG00005002767.1)". It matches the Rfam family "Mammalian CPEB3 ribozyme". Rfam says of the family: The mammalian CPEB3 ribozyme is a self cleaving RNA located in the second intron of the CPEB3 gene which belongs to a family of genes regulating messenger RNA polyadenylation. Lineage: Eukaryota; Metazoa; Chordata; Crocodylia; Crocodylidae. The record is from Rfam by way of RNAcentral.
UCACAAGUUCAAGGCCAUAGCAGAAGCACUCAUGGUGCAGCCUGUCAGAUCUAACAAAUCUGUGAAUUCUGCU